GAAUAAACUAACUUUUAGGGGGAGUGUUAGAUAUUCAAAAGCUUAAGAAUUCUUUUGUUUAUAGUUUGUGGAGUUAGGCUAGAUUGUAUAUUGGUGAGGAGCGUAUGUCCCUUAUAGGGUUCUUGAAAUGGUUAGUGUCCAAUUAAGGGGUGGUGAGUCUUGUUGGUCUUUUUUUUUGCUUUGAGAGGGGGUAGUUGCUUUGUAUACCCCCUGCAUACUUUGUAAUUUUCCGUCUCUUCAUUAAUACAUCUUGCUUUUUUUAUAAAAAAAUAAAUAAAUAAAUUUUGUGAAAAAGUUUAACAAAUUGGGGAAGUGCUGUUGAUAGUGGUUUUUCGGUUUAAUCACUAGUCCAAUUCUGAAAACAUUGAUCCAAACUGCACUGAUUCAGUCUUGCUGAAAAGAAAAAUGGGAGGAGGAGAGAGAAAAGAGCCGAUAAUCGAAGAAAUCAGGCGUUAUUUCUGUGAUUACUGUGGAAUUUGCAGGUCCAAGAAGUCUCUUGUUAACGCUCACAUGCUCUCUCAUCACCAGGAAGGGAUGAAAAGGAAAAGAGUUCAUAAGAAUGAGUAAAUGGCGGGAGAAAAGUCCAAUACCUGUGAAGAAUGUGGUGCAAGUUCACAUGCAAAAUCAUUCGCUUGAGGCUCUAAAAUUUUUUGGGUGAUGAGAUACCCAUGGACGAUAUAGUGUGAAGCAUUGGAUCCCACAAAACGAACUCCAAAAUGCUCGAGGCUGCAUUAAUUCUACCUUGAAUGGACUAGUAUCAGGUGGGAGACCUCCUGAGAAGCUCCAUCAAGUGGCCUCAAUCACACACCACUUGUUUUGAGAGGCCAUUUACUUGUCCAGUAGAUGACUGCCAUUCCAGCUAUAGAAGAAAAGUUCACUUGACCCGCCACCUUCUUAAGCACCAAGGGAAACUCUUCACAUGCCCUGUUCAGAAUUGCAACAGUAGAUUUGCUUUUCAAAGCAACAUCAAAAGGCAUGUCAAGGAAUUUCAUGAUGAGUCUCCCCCCAACAAUGUUGGUUCCAAACAAUACGUAUGCUCAGAAAUUGGGUGUGGAAAGGUGUUCAAAUUUGCUUCAAAGUUGCAGACGCAUGAGGAUU
Vitis riparia (riverbank grape) is the source of this 1098-nucleotide long non-coding RNA. RefSeq lists it as uncharacterized. The transcript has 4 exons. The record is from RefSeq and is a predicted model, not a curated record. Lineage: Eukaryota; Viridiplantae; Streptophyta; Magnoliopsida; Vitales; Vitaceae.